Molecule: ribosomal RNA, 484 nt
Filed under: uncultured bacterium
Lineage: Bacteria
Description: partial 16S ribosomal RNA
Rfam family: Bacterial small subunit ribosomal RNA
Source: RNAcentral
GACGAACGCUGGCGGCGUGCUUAACACAUGCAAGUCGAACGGUAAGGCCCCAGCUUGCUGGGGUACACGAGUGGCGAACGGGUGAGUAACACGUGGGUGACCUGCCCCUCACUUCGGGAUAAGCCUGGGAAACUGGGGCUAAUACCGGAUAGGACCGCACCGUGCGGGUGUGGUGGAAGGUUUUUCGGUGUGGGAUGGGCCCGCGGCGUAUCAGCUUGUUGGUGGGGUAAUGGCUUACCAGGGCGGCGACGGGUAGCCGACCUGAGAGGGGGGACGGCGACCCGGGAGCGGAGACACGGUCCAGAGGCCUAAGGGAGGCCGCAGUCGGGAAGGGUGGGCAAUGGGGGAAAGUCUGACGGAGCGGCGCCGCGCGAGUGAUGAAGGCCCCGGGAGGGUAAAACUCUGUUAUGGGGGAAAAACACAUGUCUCCGUAGCUGAGUAUUUCUUGACGGUAGCGGAAAAGAAAGCCACGGCUAACUACGUG